Molecule: small nucleolar RNA, 203 nt
Organism: Erinaceus europaeus (western European hedgehog)
Lineage: Eukaryota; Metazoa; Chordata; Mammalia; Eulipotyphla; Erinaceidae
Gene: SNORA74
Rfam family: Small nucleolar RNA SNORA74
About the family: U19 belongs to the H/ACA class of snoRNAs. snoRNAs bind a number of proteins (including dyskerin, Gar1p and Nop10p in the case of the H/ACA class) to form snoRNP complexes. This class are thought to guide the sites of modification of uridines to pseudouridines by forming direct base pairing interactions with substrate RNAs.
Source: Ensembl
UCCAGCUAUAGUCAGCUGUCCAGACAGAACUAAUUCUGUGAUGGUGGUACACUGCUGGGAGAGAAAUAUCUUGUCUUCUUCCAGUUGCCACCAUCACUGUUCUGGUGACAUCAGGGACUGGUGCAGAAUAGAACUUUGCUUCCUUUGGAGUAUUGCUUAGCGUCCACUUUGGCUGCUUUAGUUUUAGUUUGGAAGCAUACACA